This 577-nucleotide long non-coding RNA is filed under the name Sinocyclocheilus grahami. Its description in RNAcentral is "lncRNA (ENSSGRG00000048884.1)". The record is from RNAcentral. Lineage: Eukaryota; Metazoa; Chordata; Actinopteri; Cypriniformes; Cyprinidae.
CCGUGUUUUUGAGCAAAUAGAUGUUGUUUGAACACAUAAACAAUUUGUUUAAUUCCUGAAUGAAUCAGCCUUUUGAACUAAUGGAUUGAAUUAAUGGCUCAGUCAUUACAAUAGUGAGUACCACAACCAUUUAAACUAAUUCUUAUCUGGCGGCUGUGAGCUCCACAUCUCUGUGCUGCAGGUCAGGGCUCAUUACAGCGUGGUGUCCAGUUUGCCCUGUCCGGCCCUGGAUGAGCUGUGUAACGGAGGAGACUGUGUGGAUCAGCUCAGCUCCUCUCCUCUGACAGGGGCUUUACCUUCACCAGGCUGGUGUCUUCAUCAGUGGCAGAAAAACAUUCCUAAACACCACACGUCUGCUCUUCAGCUUGGAUCCGAUAGAGCCGUGCCACUAUAUUCAAGAGCAGAUCUGUCUGUCAGAGCCGACACUAACCGUGUUAACCAGCCUCCGUUUGUGGCUCUUCCUCCUCCAGUCAGGUUACAAGCUGCUUGUCCUCAGCAAAUCCCGGUGAAUGUGAUGGAUUUGGAUGGAGAUGAGAUUCGCUGUCGUUAUAACAAGACUGACCUUGGUGAAUUUCUG